RNA transcript from Rhododendron vialii, 4294 nucleotides. It is a transcript of the gene named 7-deoxyloganetin glucosyltransferase-like, with no coding region annotated. The record is from RefSeq and is a predicted model, not a curated record. The transcript is spliced from 5 exons. NCBI's taxonomy places the organism in Eukaryota, Viridiplantae, Streptophyta, Magnoliopsida, Ericales, Ericaceae.
AUAAUGGAUUGGAAUCUUAUCUACCAUAUUAUCCCAUGUUAAUAGUCUUUUCAUUUUUCUUUACUUUUUGGAUCGGUUCUUUUUGUUUCUGUGACCAGUAUACCUUUAUCUGUUUCACUCAUCGUAAUUGUGGUAUUAAAUACUUUCUGAGAUCAGAACAUGAUUUAAACCCUUUGCAGUUGAACUCAAGAAGUUAUUUGCUCACAAAAACGCAGAGGGAUUGGAAUAUGGCAGUGGGUGAUAAGCCUCAUGUGGUUUGUAUACCAUACCCAUCUCAAAGCCAUAUCAAAGCAAUGUUGAAACUUGCUAAACUUCUCCACAAUAAAGGUUGUCACAUAACCUUUGUCAACACAGAGUACAACCACCGACGCCUACUCAAAGCGAGAGGACCGAAUUCUCUCGAUGGCUUGCCUGAUUUUCGAUUCGAAGCAAUUCCCGAUGGGUUGCCUCCUUCGGAUGCUAAUGCCACCCAACACAUACCGUCUCUUUGUGAAUCCAUUAGAAAGAAUGCACUAGCACCAUUUCUGAGCCUUGUUUCCAAGAUCAAUGAUGGUUGUGCUUCUCCACCUGACGUGCCUCCGGUUACUUGUAUCGUCUCUGAUGGGUUUAUGAGUUUCACCCUUACAGCUGGUGAACAGCUAGGUGUCCCUGUCAUAUUGUUCUUCACCAUGUCUGCCUGUGGUGUUAUGGGCUUUUAUCAGCUGCAUGUUCUAUUGGAAAAAGGGCUUACACCACUGAAAGAUGUAAGCUAUGUAACAAAUGGGUACCUUGAUACUGUCAUAGACUGGAUUCCUGGAAUGAAAGAUAUUCGUCUGAAAGAUCUUCCAAGUUUUAUUCGAACCACGGAUCCAAACAAUAUACCUUUUAACUUCUGCAUGGAAGCAGCCAUGAGGGCUUCCAAAGCUUCAGCAAUCAUUCUCCACACCUUUGAUGCGUUGGAGCAGGAUCUAUUGAAUGCCUUCACUGCCAUCUUUCCAAUUGUAUAUUCCAUAGGACCACUUCAGUUAUUUUUGAAUCACAUAUCACAGAAAGACAAGUCGGAGUCCAUCGGAUACAAUCUAUGGAAAGAAGAAUCCGAGUGUCUCAAAUGGCUGGAUUCCAAGGCACCCAGAUCCGUAAUUUAUGUGAACUUUGGUAGCAUAACGUCAAUGACCAAGGAACAACUAGAAGAGCUUGGGUGGGGACUUGUGAAUAGCCACCACAACUUUUUGUGGAUAAUUAGGCCUGAUUUGGUAAUGGGUGAUCAAUCAGACUCUGUAACUUUACCGCCUGAAUUGGCUGCGGAAAUCGAAGAAAGAGGUCUAAUAGUAGCAUGGUGCCCACAAGAGGAAGUCCUGAACCACCAAUCGGUUGGGGGAUUCAUGACUCAUUGUGGGUGGAAUUCAACUAUAGAGAGCUUGUCAGCGGGAGUGCCAAUGAUCUGUUGGCCGUGUUUCGGUGAUCAACAGACAAAUUGUCGUUAUACUUGUACAGAAUGGGGGGUGGGGCUGGAGAUUGAUAGUGAUGUGAAGAGAGAGGAAGUGGAGAGGCUUGUUAGAGAGGUAAUGGGAGGAGAGAAGGGGAAGAAAAUGAAGAGCAAGGCUAUGGAGUGGAAGGAAUUGGCAGAGAAGGCUACUGGUUCAGAUGGGUCAUCCACUUUGAGUUUAAACAAGUUGGUGGACAAACUGUUACUCUCAAUGGGUGGCUAGGAUCUGCAACUGUUUGCAGCAUUCCAAAAUAUACCUCUGUUUUCUGUGUGAAAUCACACUAGAUGUGAUGUAUGUGGUUGUUUCAUGGAGUAGUUACUUGAAGGGGGGAAAAACCUCUAUUUAAUCAUGGCAUCUUUUUCUAUUAUUGGGUUUUCCUUCGUUAACGGUUGCUUGUUUUGGGGGAUCGACAGCCCCUCUUAUCGGUUCAUAUAGUGAAAUGUUUCAAAGUGGCUUGGCUUCUACUAUGAUGGUUAUUUUGAUCGUUUUUGUCCAUGCAACUACCUCUUAUGCUGGGCAAAUUCGUGUGUUUUGUGUAAGGUUAUUUUUAUGGAUGUAUCGCCAUUGCUAGGUAAAUGUCUAAAUACUUCUGUUUGUUCUUUCUUUUUGUCCGAUAUGUGAGAUCUGGUUUUCUUCUCUGUAUUAUUAUUAUUUUAUUUUAUUUUUAUUAUUAUUUUUUUUUGAAAGAAGAAUCCUCAAGUCUACAGUUCGAGAUUGAGAUUUUGCUAUUAAGCUAAUAGUUGUUUUUGAUUGGGCUGGUCAUUAAGUUGUAGGCAUCUGGUGCACUGGCUGAUCUCUCCUGAGCCACCAAAUUUGGUAUAACUGAUUGGUUGAUUUUUCUUGCGUAUUUCCUGUUAAUUUUCCUUUUAGUUUGUUACUGUAGGUCCAUCAAAGAGGAUUCUACGUCUGAGUGUGUAAGACUUGAAGCCUACGUUGAUCUAUGGCUAGCUAAAUCUGCCCGAGUUUUAGGACAAAAAUUGACACAUACUUGGAGAUAGAGUACAUAAUUGGACAUAUUUGAAGAGCAAAGAGGAAGUUGCAGCUCGCAGCAGCGUGGCUCGAACCGGGGCAUCAUAUCAGUUGAACUCAAGAAGUUUGUUUGCUUAUAACGAAAGAGGGAUUGGAUAUGGCACAGGGUGAUAGGCCUCAUGGGGUUUGUAUACCACUCCCAGCUCAAAGCCAUAUGAAAGCAAUGAUGAAACUAGCAAAGCGCCUCCACCGUAAUGGCUUCCACAUAACCUUUGUCAACACAGAGUACAACCACCGACGUUUACUCAAAGCUAGAGGACCGAAUUCUCUCGAUGGCUUGCCAGAUUUCCGAUUCGAAACGAUUCCAGAUGGGUUGCCUCCUUCGGAUGCUAAUGCCACCCAAGACAUGCCUUCUCUUUGUGAAUCCAUCAGAAAGAAUGCUCUCGCGCCAUUUCUGGGCCUUGUUUCCAAGAUCAAUGGCAGUAGCGCUUCUGCAUCGGACGUGCCUCCAGUUACUUGUAUCGUCUCUGAUGGAUUUAUGAGUUUCACCAUCACAGCUGGUGAAGAGCUUGGUAUCCCCGUCUUGCUAUUCUUCACUCUGUCUGCCUGUCGUUUCAUGAGCUUUUAUCAGUGGCCUGUUCUAGUGGAAAAAGGGCUACUCCACUGAAAGAUGCAAGCUAUCUAACUAAUGGGUACCUCGAUACCAACAUAGAUUGGAUUCCUGGAAUGAAAGAUAUUCAUCUGAAAGAUCUUCCAAGUUUUAUUCGAACCACGGAUCCAAACGAUAUUACUUUUAACUUCGGCAGGGAAGCAGCUGAGAGGUCUUCCAAAGUUUCAGCAAUCUUUCUCCACACUUUUGAUGCGUUGGAGCAGGUUAUACUGAACGCUUUAACUGCCAUCUUCCCAUCUGUAUAUACGAUAGGCCCACUUCAGUUACUUUUGAAUCACAUAUCAAUGAAAGAUGAGUCAGAGGCCAUCGGAUACAAUCUAUGGAAAGAAGAAUCUGAGUGUCUCAAAUGGCUCGACUCCAAGGAAUCCGGAUCAGUAAUUUACGUGAACUUUGGUAGCAUAAUGUCAGUAACCAAGGAGCAACUAGAAGAGUUUGGGUGGGGUCUAGUGAAUAGCCACAACUUUUUGUGGAUAAUUAGGCCUGAUUUGGUAAUGGGUGAUAAAUCAGAAUCUACAAUUUUACCGAUUCAGGCUGCAGAAAUAAAAGAAAGAGGUCUAAUAGUAGCAUGGUGCUCACAAGAGGUAGGUAGUCCUGAACCACCGGUCAGUGGGGGGAUUUUUCACUCACUGUGGAUGGAAUUCAACUAUUGAGAGCUUGUCAGCAGGAGUGCCAAUGAUCUGCUGGCCGUUGUUUGCUGAUCAGCAGAUGAAUUGUAGGUAUGCUUGUACCGAAUGGGAGGUGGGGCUGGAGAUUGAUAGUGAUGUGAAGAGAGAGGAAGUGGAGAAGCUUGUUAGAGAGCUAAUGGGAGGAGAGAAGGGGAAGAAAAUGAAGAGCAAGGCUAUGGAGUGGAAGGAACUGGCAGAGAAGGCUACUGAUUCAGAUGGGUCAUCCACUUUGAGUUUGAACAACUUGGUGAACAAACUGUUAAUCUCGAAGGGUGGCUAGGAUCUGUAACUGUUCCCAGCAUUCCAAGAUAUACCUCUGUUUUCAGUUUGAUAUCGUACGAGGUUGUUUUUGUGGAUGUAUCGCCAUUGGUUGGUAAACGUCUAAAUAUUGGGCGUCCUUUCUGUCGUAUUUCCAUUUACUUUCCCUACCCAUUUUAUGAGAGGGGUAUCAGAGCUCUGUAACAUCAUACUGUAAUAAUUGGGAUUUUAUAAUAAUUGUUGGAGCUUUCUAAUGUGAUGAUUAA